RNAcentral lists this ribosomal RNA (426 nucleotides) under Klebsiella pneumoniae. RNAcentral describes it as "bacterial SSU rRNA". It matches the Rfam family "Bacterial small subunit ribosomal RNA", at positions 1106 to 1532 of the family's 1533-position model. The record is from RNAcentral. RNAcentral also lists the same sequence under 1 other name. Lineage: Bacteria; Pseudomonadati; Pseudomonadota; Gammaproteobacteria; Enterobacterales; Enterobacteriaceae.
UAUCCUUUGUUGCCAGCGGUUCGGCCGGGAACUCAAAGGAGACUGCCAGUGAUAAACUGGAGGAAGGUGGGGAUGACGUCAAGUCAUCAUGGCCCUUACGACCAGGGCUACACACGUGCUACAAUGGCAUAUACAAAGAGAAGCGACCUCGCGAGAGCAAGCGGACCUCAUAAAGUAUGUCGUAGUCCGGAUUGGAGUCUGCAACUCGACUCCAUGAAGUCGGAAUCGCUAGUAAUCGUAGAUCAGAAUGCUACGGUGAAUACGUUCCCGGGCCUUGUACACACCGCCCGUCACACCAUGGGAGUGGGUUGCAAAAGAAGUAGGUAGCUUAACCUUCGGGAGGGCGCUUACCACUUUGUGAUUCAUGACUGGGGUGAAGUCGUAACAAGGUAACCGUAGGGGAACCUGCGGUUGGAUCACCUCCUU